This 88-nucleotide transfer RNA is filed under the name Chloroflexota bacterium. Its description in RNAcentral is "Chloroflexi bacterium tRNA-Ser". It matches the Rfam family "tRNA". Rfam says of the family: Transfer RNA (tRNA) molecules are approximately 80 nucleotides in length. Their secondary structure includes four short double-helical elements and three loops (D, anti-codon, and T loops). Further hydrogen bonds mediate the characteristic L-shaped molecular structure. tRNAs have two regions of fundamental functional importance: the anti-codon, which is responsible for specific mRNA codon recognition, and the 3' end, to which the tRNAs corresponding amino acid is attached (by aminoacyl-tRNA synthetases). tRNAs cope with the degeneracy of the genetic code in two manners: having more than one tRNA (with a specific anti-codon) for a particular amino acid; and 'wobble' base-pairing, i.e. permitting non-standard base-pairing at the 3rd anti-codon position. Lineage: Bacteria; Bacillati; Chloroflexota. The record is from RNAcentral.
GGAGGGGUGUCCGAGUGGCUUAAGGAGGUGGUCUUGAAAACCACUAGGCGGCUUGCCCGCCUCGUGGGUUCGAAUCCCACCCCCUCCG